CUUAAGAAUUCCCGGCCUUGGAGCAGCUCUGCGGCUCUCCUCCCGGGGCGGGGCGAAGAAGGUGCGCGGGCGGGCGCAAUCGCCUCGCCGCCAUCAUGGGGUUGUGCGGCUUUGGUGCCGUUCUGACCUCCCGCCCGCAGGUGGCGCUGUACGGAGAGCGCUCUCUCUUGACAAAAAAAGGAUGACACCGGAUGUGACGUCAGACCAGCAGAAAACUUCCGCCUCCUUCUUCAGAAAGGAAGGGGAGGGUUCCCAAAACAACAUGGUUGCUUUGCAAAUCUUGGAGCCUGGGAGGGAGGUGUGGGCUGGGUGGGCAGGUCGUCAGAUGUAUUUGUUUGCAAGGUUUCAUUAAAAUAAUAAAGACUGCAGUUAAUCAUGUAUUUAAAAUUAAUUUAUUCAAGUAAUUAAUUAAUUAAUUCUUCAAAAUAACUUAUUCAAAAGGUAAAUAUUGCAAUUAUUAAAGUGACCCCCCGAGUAUAGGGCGGUAUAUAAAUUCAAUAAAUGAAAUAAAAAUAAUAUUGCAACUAGUAAAAUGAAGCAUCAACAUGGUUUGCAACUGUUCCAGCACAUACUGAAAUAGGAGUUAAGUUUGGGGUCCCUGCAAGGGGUUCAGCUUCUUAAGGAAGGCUGGACCUUCAGAAAAAGCGCGCUUUGAGGCUCAAACUGGCCGGGAAAUAAACACAGACCAGACCAGGAUUUUCAGAAAGCAAAGCGGCUGGAAGCCUGAUCCUUUAUUAAAAUUAUAUGCAGAACUGUUGGCAACAGAGUUCCCACUCACGUAGCAGGCAGCCAAGAGAGAACCCCAAAUAAAAGAGAAUUUUGACUUAUAUACCUUUUAAUUUCCAUACAGAACAAUGGUAACAAAAGAUGUCAAACAAGGCGCAGUGAGAGGAUUAGAACAGGAAAACUUCGGAGCUGCUAGCUGCUGUCCGAUAAGGAGACAGGAUUUUGGGAGUCGCUUAUCAGUGCGGGUGUGUUGCCUUCUUCUGCAUUUUUCCUUUAUUUAAAUAAAACUAUCUGAGGUUGUA
This is a long non-coding RNA of Podarcis raffonei (Aeolian wall lizard), 1028 nucleotides long. RefSeq lists it as uncharacterized. The transcript has 2 exons. The record is from RefSeq and is a predicted model, not a curated record. Lineage: Eukaryota; Metazoa; Chordata; Lepidosauria; Squamata; Lacertidae.